Long non-coding RNA from Aedes aegypti (yellow fever mosquito), 532 nucleotides. RefSeq lists it as uncharacterized. Lineage: Eukaryota; Metazoa; Arthropoda; Insecta; Diptera; Culicidae. The transcript has 3 exons. The record is from RefSeq and is a predicted model, not a curated record.
UUAGAAUUUGUCGCCACGCACGCCUACAUCAUAAAACACUUAUUGCCAUGCUGCACCAUAUUAACAACGGAAAACGGAGGAUAUCAUUCGUUCCGUGCAUAUCGCUUUCGAACAACAACCGCCGAUUCAAAACACCGGUCGCUAAAAGCCUUUUCAAAUCAGCGGUACGAACCAGCACCGCCAAGCGGAGAAAGCGAGAACCUCGAAAACGUCACUAUCCACGGCAAGUGACAGCUGCAGGACUCUAUCGAAGGCUCUGCCACGUCAUCGCCAUUCGUCCAGUUCGCUCGAUCGCGUUGGUCGCGACAUCGCGUGUGAAAUAGGAAUCAUCCUCUGGCCACAACCAGAAACCAACCGAGGACACGGGCCUACGAUCCAGUCGACGUGAGACUCGGGAUUGUCACACCACGAGGCCGGCAGUAGACGCCAGAGCCGCCAUUUUGCCGGACUGCGAUUUCACCGGGUCUAGCACUAAGUUGACCGUGCGGCCAAUUGGAGGACGAGAGUAGGCUAUCACUACGGUCACCAAACG